GGAAUAUUGGGCAAUGGGCGCAAGCCUGACCCAGCAACGCCGCGUGAAGGAAGAAGGCCCUCGGGUUGUAAACUUCUUUUAUCAAGGACGAAACAAAUGACGGUACUUGAUGAAUAAGCCACGGCUAACUACGUGCCAGCAGCCGCGGUAAUACGUAGGUGGCAAGCGUUAUCCGGAUUUACUGGGUGUAAAGGGUGCGUAGGUGGCACGAUAAGUCUGAAGUAAAAGGCAACAGCUCAACUGUUGUAUGCUUUGGAAACUGUCGAGCUAGAGUGCAGAAGAGGGCGAUGGAAUUCCAUGUGUAGCGGUAAAAUGCGUAGAUAUAUGGAGGAACACCAGUGGCGAAGGCGGCUCUCUGGUCUGUUACUGACGCUUAGGCGCGAAAGCGUGGGGAGCAAACAGGA
Molecule: unclassified non-coding RNA, 404 nt
Filed under: plant metagenome
Description: partial contains 5.8S ribosomal RNA, internal transcribed spacer 2, and large subunit ribosomal RNA
Rfam family: Bacterial small subunit ribosomal RNA
Source: RNAcentral